CCUACAAGUAUAAAAUAUCUGUUUAGGUCCCUUAACUUUAUUUAAAGUAUCGGUUUUAUCUUUUUUAUUAAUUUAAUUUAAAAAAAAUUAAGUUUAGAUACCAAAUUAAUACUAAUUAAAUUAGUUAAGGACCAAAAUUUAAUGUUUUUUUAAUUAAAUUAACAGAAAUAACAAAACUGAUACUUUAAAUAAAGUUAAGAGACCUUAGCAAACUUUUUAUUACUUAUGGAA
This is a microRNA precursor of Medicago truncatula (barrel medic), 231 nucleotides long. It matches the Rfam family "MIR2655 microRNA precursor family". The record is from Rfam. Lineage: Eukaryota; Viridiplantae; Streptophyta; Magnoliopsida; Fabales; Fabaceae.